RNAcentral lists this ribosomal RNA (253 nucleotides) under uncultured bacterium. RNAcentral describes it as "partial 16S ribosomal RNA". It matches the Rfam family "Bacterial small subunit ribosomal RNA", at positions 524 to 776 of the family's 1533-position model. The record is from RNAcentral.
UACGAAGGGGGCUAGCGUUGCUCGGAAUCACUGGGCGUAAAGCGCACGUAGGCGGAUUGCUAAGUCAGGGGUGAAAUCCUGGAGCUCAACUCCAGAACUGCCUUUGAUACUGGCGACCUUGAGUCCGGGAGAGGUGAGUGGAACUGCGAGUGUAGAGGUGAAAUUCGUAGAUAUUCGCAAGAACACCAGUGGCGAAGGCGGCUCACUGGCCCGGUACUGACGCUGAGGUGCGAAAGCGUGGGGAGCAAACGGG